This 425-nucleotide ribosomal RNA is filed under the name uncultured bacterium. RNAcentral's name for it is "bacterial SSU rRNA". It matches the Rfam family "Bacterial small subunit ribosomal RNA", at positions 355 to 794 of the family's 1533-position model. The record is from RNAcentral.
UGGGGAAUAUUGGGCAAUGGGCGAAAGCCUGACCCAGCAACGCCGCGUGAGGGAAGAAGGGUUUCGGCUCGUAAACCUCUGUCCUAUGGGACGAAGGAAGUGACGGUACCAUAGGAGGAAGCCCCGGCUAACUACGUGCCAGCAGCCGCGGUAAUACGUAGGGGGCGAGCGUUGUCCGGAAUGAUUGGGCGUAAAGGGCGCGUAGGCGGCCUGGUAAGUCUGAAGUGAAAGUCCUGCUUUUAAGGUGGGAAUUGCCUUUAAUACUGGAAGGCUUGAGUGCAGAAGAGGUAAGUGGAAUUCCCAGUGUAGCGGUGAAAUGCGUAGAGAUUGGGAAGAACACCAGUGGCGAAGGCGACUUACUGGGCUGUAACUGACGCUGAGGCGCGAAAGCGUGGGGAGCAAACAGGAUUAGAUACCCUGGUAGU